GACCCUGGCUCAGGAUGAACGCUAGCUACAGGCUUAACACAUGCAAGUCGAGGGGCAGCAUGAACUUAGCUUGCUAAGUUUGAUGGCGACCGGCGCACGGGUGAGUAACACGUAUCCAACCUUCCGUUUACUCAGGGAUAGCCUUUCGAAAGAAAGAUUAAUACCUGAUAGUAUGGUGAGAUUGCAUGAUAACACCAUUAAGGAUUUAUUGGUAAACGAUGGGGAUGCGUUCCAUUAGGUAGUAGGG
This 247-nucleotide ribosomal RNA is filed under the name uncultured bacterium. RNAcentral's name for it is "partial 16S ribosomal RNA". It matches the Rfam family "Bacterial small subunit ribosomal RNA", at positions 15 to 253 of the family's 1533-position model. The record is from RNAcentral.